UUUGCUAUUCCUAUUCAGCCCUCUCUCCCUGCCAACAUGUAGAGAUCUCUUUAUUGUUUCCAUCAUUUUUUUUCCAGAAUGUCAUACAGUUGGAAUCGUUUGCACUGAAUAAUAUUCCGUUGCCUGGAUGUAUGCUUACCUCCUGAAGAACAUGUUGGUUGCUUCCAAGCUUUGGAAGUUAUGAAUCAAGCUGCUAUAAAUGUCUGUGUGAAAGAUUUUUGUAUGGACAUAUGUUGUCAGCUCUAUGGAUGAAUGCCAAGGAGCACAACUUCUGGAUCAUGUGUGAGUUUUGCUCAUUAUGUGGCCUAUAUAGAUGCUUGAUUGACAUUAUUAUGACUUGUGAGUCAGCAACUCACAGCAAGAGCUCAAAGUCUUUGAAUUCAGCUGACAAAGGAAGGAUUGCACCAAAUGUAUGCCACUGUCUAUUCUACUUAGGGUGACAUGCAGAAGAAUGAAACUGGACCACUUGCCUACACCACACACAAAAAUAAAUUCAAAAUGGAUGAUGUGAGACAGGAAACCAUCGAAAUCUACCAGAAAAACAGGCAGCACCCUCUUCGACCUCAGCCAUAGCAACUUCCUACUUGACAUGUCUCCAGAGGUAAGGGGGGAAAAUAAAUUAUCGGGACCUCAUCAGGAUAAAAAGCUUCUGCACAGUGAAGAAAACAAUCAACAAAACUAAAAGCAACAUUUCCCCCCCUCUUAAUGUUCCUUCACGCAAUCUCUUCCUAAACAUAAAAAGUGUCUUCAAAUUC
Molecule: long non-coding RNA, 755 nt
Organism: Suricata suricatta (meerkat)
Lineage: Eukaryota; Metazoa; Chordata; Mammalia; Carnivora; Herpestidae
Exons: 4
Source: RefSeq, a predicted model, not a curated record